UUGACGGGACCCGCACAAGCGGUGGAUGAUGUGGUUUAAUUCGAUGCAACGCGAAAAACCUUACCCACCUUUGACAUGGCAGGAAUCCUGAAGAGAUUUGGGAGUGCUCGAAAGAGAACCUGCACACAGGUGCUGCAUGGCUGUCGUCAGCUCGUGUCGUGAGAUGUUGGGUUAAGUCCCGCAACGAGCGCAACCCUUGCCAUUAGUUGCUACGAAAGGGCACUCUAAUGGGACUGCCGGUGACAAACCGGAGGAAGGUGGGGAUGACGUCAAGUCCUCAUGGCCCUUAUAGGUGGGGCUACACACGUCAUACAAUGGCCGGUACAGAGGGUAGCCAACCCGCGAGGGGGAGCCAAUCCCACAAAGCCGGUCGUAGUCCGGAUCGCAGUCUGCAACUCGACUGCGUGAAGUCGGAAUCGCUAGUAAUCGCGGAUCAGCAUGUCGCGGUGAAUACGUUCCCGGGUCUU
RNAcentral lists this ribosomal RNA (467 nucleotides) under uncultured Allobrachymonas sp. RNAcentral's name for it is "bacterial SSU rRNA". It matches the Rfam family "Bacterial small subunit ribosomal RNA", at positions 910 to 1382 of the family's 1533-position model. Lineage: Bacteria; Pseudomonadati; Pseudomonadota; Betaproteobacteria; Burkholderiales; Comamonadaceae. The record is from RNAcentral.